Adelges cooleyi (spruce gall adelgid) is the source of this 831-nucleotide long non-coding RNA. RefSeq lists it as uncharacterized. Lineage: Eukaryota; Metazoa; Arthropoda; Insecta; Hemiptera; Adelgidae. The transcript is spliced from 3 exons. The record is from RefSeq and is a predicted model, not a curated record.
UGAGUGUCAAACACACUAAUGCCUUACCCACUCUGCCAUUUCCUCUCCACUAUGUACAAAGGUUUGCAGUACUAAACACUUACGGUUCAUCCACUGGUUCUCGAAGUAAUUAAUAUAUCGACGAGCUAUUUGUUCGUUUUCCGCGUGACUACUCUCUUCUUUGAUCAGGUUAAAACCCUCGGCUAUGUGCUCGACUGGUAAAAGGGCCAGAGCCUUCGACAUGCGGAACAUGUUAUGAAAUACCAAGUCGUUACGAUAUUCACGUCGCUGCAUGCAAAACUCUUUACCAUUUUUCUAAAGUGCCUAUAAAUUACCAUAAACAUUUUUAAAUGGCAACACACGAUGCUAUAUUUUAUAGCACCGGAAAUGAUGAGAGAAUUAUUAAAAACAUUUUUCAUACUUGCACCAUGUGGAACCAACAGCGCUGCAGGUUGGCAGCUGGCAGAGUAUUCCUCAGUGCAUUGGUUAAUGCGGUUUCAUAGUCAGUAAUGAUGUUUGCUGCUUGAAUACCGCCUGGAAUAAGAUCCCUUACGUAUUCAAGCACGCACCGGUACGCGAUCUCGGUCUUCCUUGUCAUCAACACAAAUGCAACCGGAAAAGCCUAAGUAAACGCGAAAUGAAAACCACUGCUUCGCCAGCUUCUACACCUCCAUCUAUGUAGCCCCUAUACAACUCCUCGUUGCUAGACGUUAAAAAUAGAUGACGGUACCUCGGGUCGGACAAAUUGCCCGCAUAUCCCAAGAGAGUCUGGGGUAUCGAUGGCUGAGUCUCGGCCCUGGCCCGUUCCAUAGUUCGCAAGAAGCUGGUGUACGUCAAUUGAGUGUUAACAUG